AGUGGCGAACUGGUGAGUAACACGUGGGUAACCUGCCCAGAAGAAGGGGAUAACACCUGGAAACAGAUGCUAAUACCGUAUAACAACAAGAACCACAUGGUUCUUGUUUGAAAGCUGGUCUUUGUGCUAGUGCUUCUGGAUGGACCCGCGGCGUAUUAGCUAGUUGGUGAGAUAAUAGCUCACCAAGGCAAUGAUACGUAGCAGACCUGAGAGGGUAAUCGGCCACAUUGGGACUGAGACACGGCCCGGACUCC
Molecule: ribosomal RNA, 254 nt
Filed under: uncultured Lactobacillus sp.
Lineage: Bacteria; Bacillati; Bacillota; Bacilli; Lactobacillales; Lactobacillaceae
Description: partial 16S ribosomal RNA
Rfam family: Bacterial small subunit ribosomal RNA
Source: RNAcentral